GGGGGGAACGGGGGAGUCGUGAUGGCUGCCCUAAGGUACCGAAGAAGGGUGGUCUCUAUGAUGACUGAGCCCUGAACACCCUUCACUGCUAGGACAGCCAAUGGAAUGGACGUUCUCACUGCAGAUCUUUUAAAACUCAUCUCCCCAGGGCCCGUCAUCUUUGGAACUGACCGCAUCUUUAGAGCGGAGCCUACGUUUGAGUGACUCAGCAGUAUUCAGAGGAUGUUUUUUGACCCGCAGGUACCCUUUGGGACUCUUCAAUCCUUACCUAAUUUUCAUCGUGUUACGGCUGCUGGAAGCAUCUUGGGCAUUAUGCCCGCAGUAGAAACCCCGUGCAGUCCUUCAUAAAGAAGCAAGAAGACCUUAGGGCUGUUCCAUUCACCAGGAAUUGCACACAAGGGUGUUGGGCUAAAAAGGAGAGCUAGCUCUGUUACUCACCCAGUUAAUGAUCCUUUGCAAAUUCCCUGUUCAGUCUCUGGACCUUGGGUGACUGCUUCAGAAGUUUCCCCCGAUUGUGGUGAUAGCGGUCCUGCUUUCUUAGAAUAUUUAAAAAUGUCAACUUUCAUUGAUUGUUUUCUCUGUAUCUGGAAGUAUUGUACAUGCUCUGACUUUAUUCACUUAAUCCUCACACCAUUAUAAUCCUGUUCUACAGAUGAAGGAUCUGUAGCACAGAGAAAUGAAGUGUAUUCCUAAAGGUUUCCUGUGGCUGGUGUGUGGCAGAGCUGAGAUUCCAACUCUGGUUGUGGGAUCCUCCAUGCCAUAUCGUUUCUCAGUUUCUAAUACAGUUCUAUUAAACGAUUAAGGAGGCA
Molecule: non-coding RNA, 809 nt
Organism: Leptonychotes weddellii (Weddell seal)
Lineage: Eukaryota; Metazoa; Chordata; Mammalia; Carnivora; Phocidae
Source: RefSeq, a predicted model, not a curated record